The sequence is a transfer RNA, 76 nucleotides long. It matches the Rfam family "tRNA". From Rfam's summary of the family: Transfer RNA (tRNA) molecules are approximately 80 nucleotides in length. Their secondary structure includes four short double-helical elements and three loops (D, anti-codon, and T loops). Further hydrogen bonds mediate the characteristic L-shaped molecular structure. tRNAs have two regions of fundamental functional importance: the anti-codon, which is responsible for specific mRNA codon recognition, and the 3' end, to which the tRNAs corresponding amino acid is attached (by aminoacyl-tRNA synthetases). tRNAs cope with the degeneracy of the genetic code in two manners: having more than one tRNA (with a specific anti-codon) for a particular amino acid; and 'wobble' base-pairing, i.e. permitting non-standard base-pairing at the 3rd anti-codon position.
GCCAGUUUAGCUCAGUUGGUAGAGCAUCGGUAUCGUAAACCGGCGGUCACAGGUUCAAAUCCUGCAACUGGCACUA